AUGUAACGGGGCUAAACCAUGCACCGAAGCUGCGGCAGCGACACUAUGUGUUGUUGGGUAGGGGAGCGUUCUGUAAGCCUGUGAAGGUGGCCUGUGAGGGUUGCUGGAGGUAUCAGAAGUGCGAAUGCUGACAUAAGUAACGAUAAAGCGGGUGAAAAGCCCGCUCGCCGGAAGACCAAGGGUUCCUGUCCAACGUUAAUCGGGGCAGGGUGAGUCGACCCCUAAGGCGAGGCCGAAAGGCGUAGUCGAUGGGAAACAGGUUAAUAUUCCUGUACUUGGUGUUACUGCGAAGGGGGGACGGAGAAGGCUAUGUUGGCCGGGCGACGGUUGUCCCGGUUUAAGCGUGUAGGCUGGUUUUCCAGGCAAAUCCGGAAAACCAAGGCUGAGGCGUGAUGA
Molecule: ribosomal RNA, 396 nt
Filed under: Escherichia coli
Lineage: Bacteria; Pseudomonadati; Pseudomonadota; Gammaproteobacteria; Enterobacterales; Enterobacteriaceae
Description: partial 23S ribosomal RNA
Rfam family: Bacterial large subunit ribosomal RNA
Source: RNAcentral